AUUGAACGCUGGCGGCAUGCCUAACACAUGCAAGUCGAACGGCAGCACAGUAAGAUCUUGCGCUUACGGGUGGCGAGUGGCGGACGGGUGACGUAUACAUCGGAAUCUACUUUUUCUGGGGGGAUAACGUAGGGAAACUUACGCUAAUACCGCAUACGACCUACGUGUGAGAGCAUGGGAUCUUCUGCCCUUGUGCGAUUGUAUGAGCCGAUGUCGGAUUAGCUAGUUGGCUGGUUAAAGGCCCAACAAGGCGACGAUCCGUAGCUGGUCUGAGAGGAUGAUCAGCCACACUGGAACUGAGACACGGUCCAGACUCCUACGGGAGGCAGCAGUGGGGAAUAUUGGACAAUGGGCGAAAGCCUGAUCCAGCAAUACCGCGUGGGUGAAGAAGGACUUCGGCUUGUAAAGCCCUGUUGUUGGGAAAGAAAAGCAGCAGGUUAAUACCCCGCUGUUCUGACGGUACCCAAAGAAUAAGCACCGGCUAACUUCGUG
This 492-nucleotide ribosomal RNA is filed under the name uncultured bacterium. RNAcentral describes it as "partial 16S ribosomal RNA". It matches the Rfam family "Bacterial small subunit ribosomal RNA", at positions 30 to 507 of the family's 1533-position model. The record is from RNAcentral.